RNAcentral lists this small nuclear RNA (193 nucleotides) under Aureobasidium namibiae CBS 147.97. Its description in RNAcentral is "U2 spliceosomal RNA". It matches the Rfam family "U2 spliceosomal RNA". Rfam says of the family: U2 is a small nuclear RNA (snRNA) component of the spliceosome (involved in pre-mRNA splicing). The record is from Rfam by way of RNAcentral. Lineage: Eukaryota; Fungi; Ascomycota; Dothideomycetes; Dothideales; Saccotheciaceae.
CAAGUCUCUUGCCUUUUGGCUUAGAUCAAGUGUAGUAUCUGUUCUUCAUAGUUUAAUCGCUGUGACCGGUCUACGGACCGUCAAUAAUGAUUAUUCUUAUUUUUGGAACCAGCUGCAGAACCUCUGGGCUUGCUCACGUUCUGUGGCACAGUGUCGCUCGUAUUCGCACUACCUCGAGCUGACGCGAAUCAUC